GGUGGAGUUCUGUUUUGAGCCUAAUGGUGUUGUUCCUGUUUGUUUAUGCAGAUUCUGUAUGCAAGCAGGUCUGCCAUUACCCUGAUCCUGUAACAAGUUUUAACGUUGCACCAGACUUGAUGAAUCAAGCAAAAGAUUAUUUGAACAAAACUAUGUCCGUUAUAUUGUUGGUUAGGGCGAGUGUUUUAGAAUAUGG
Rosa chinensis is the source of this 196-nucleotide long non-coding RNA. RefSeq lists it as uncharacterized. NCBI's taxonomy places the organism in Eukaryota, Viridiplantae, Streptophyta, Magnoliopsida, Rosales, Rosaceae. The record is from RefSeq and is a predicted model, not a curated record. The transcript has 2 exons.